GACGAACGCUGGCGGCGUGCCUAACACAUGCAAGUAGAACGCUGAAGCCUGGUGCUUGCACCGUGCGGAUGAGUCGCGAACGGGUGAGUAACGUGUGGAUAAUGUGCCUGGCAGUGGGGGAAAAUUAGUGGAAACGGUAGCUAACACCGUAUAAGAGCAGACUUCGCAUGACAUUUGGUAAAAAGGCGCAAUUGCGGCAGGUGCAGAUGGACGCGCGGCUUAUUAGUUAGUUGGUGGGGUAACGGCGCACCAAGGCAACGACGGGUAGCAGGCCUGAGAGGGGGACCGGCCACAUUGGGACUGAGAUACGGCCCAGACUGCUACGGGAGGCAGCAGGGGGGAAUAUUGCACAAUGGGCGGAAGCCGGAGGCAGCAACGCCGCGUGAGGGAUGACGGCCUUCGGGUUGUAAACCGCUUUCGCCUGUGACGAAGCGUGAGUGACGGUAAUGGGUAAAGAAGCACCGGCUAACUACGUG
Molecule: ribosomal RNA, 476 nt
Filed under: uncultured bacterium
Lineage: Bacteria
Description: partial 16S ribosomal RNA
Rfam family: Bacterial small subunit ribosomal RNA
Source: RNAcentral